AUUCUUUUGUAGUUUAUAAGCCUGAUAAUUGGGUUUCACGUGCAUGUAUGAGAUGUGCCUCCCUCAAACCUUUUUACGACGUUGGCACAUUACCCAUCUGACG
Molecule: small nucleolar RNA, 103 nt
Filed under: Nomascus leucogenys (northern white-cheeked gibbon)
Lineage: Eukaryota; Metazoa; Chordata; Mammalia; Primates; Hylobatidae
Description: Small nucleolar RNA U13
Rfam family: Small nucleolar RNA U13
Source: Rfam by way of RNAcentral